This 87-nucleotide transfer RNA is filed under the name Candidatus Nomurabacteria bacterium RIFCSPLOWO2_01_FULL_40_15. RNAcentral describes it as "tRNA-Ser". It matches the Rfam family "tRNA". Rfam says of the family: Transfer RNA (tRNA) molecules are approximately 80 nucleotides in length. Their secondary structure includes four short double-helical elements and three loops (D, anti-codon, and T loops). Lineage: Bacteria; Candidatus Nomuraibacteriota. The record is from RNAcentral.
GGAGGCGUCGCAUAGUGGUCUAGUGCACCACCUUGGAAAGGUGGCAGACCUGAAAGGGUCUCGAGAGUUCAAAUCUCUCCGCCUCCG